CUUCCGGGGCUCUCACUCCAUACCUCCCCACAAGCUGAGGGAGCCGGCUCCGGCCUCAGCCAGCCCAGAAAGGGGCUCCCACAGUGCAGCGGGCUGAAGGGCUCCUCAAUAGCGACCAGAGUGGGCACCAAGGCCGAGGAGGCACCAAAAGCGAGUGAGGGCUGCGAGGGCUGCGAGGGCUGCCAGCACAUUGUCGCCUCUCAGUAGGGUCUUUGAGAGACAAGGUAUUUCACUGUAACAGACAUCAGACUAAAAGGAUCUUGCUAUGAUUCCCAGGCUGAUCACAAACUCCUGACCUCAAGCAACCCUUUCACCUCAGCAUCCCAAAGUGCUGGGAUUACAGGAUGAUCCACUAUGUCUGGCCCAUAAAUAGGAGGGAACAAGUAAAAACAUGGCAAUAUGGCAAAACAAUGAAACAUUUGUUAAUGAAUUGAAAACAGCAAAACUGGAAGUUUCCUAGACAUCCGUGUUCUUAAAGGAAACCACGAAUUUCUGAAGGAAAUGUUGAAGACACAGGGAAGGGCAGAAUAAAAGCAAAGAAUCCUUGAGACUGUCAACAGAGCUCUGGCGGGCCUUAAGGAAUGCACAUCUAGCAGACUCUCAAGUCCCUAAUGAUAUUUUGGAAGACUUUCUGGCUACUUUGCAACAACCUGAGUAUUUUUGGUACUAUUAAGGGGUCUUAAACCUCCUUAAGUCAAAUGCCAUUUCCCAGGCAAAGAUACGGUACACACUGCUACCAUAGGCAAGAAAGUAAUUUUGUAAAUCCGUUGUCUCCAAGAAUUUAAAGUGGUCGUCAUCUUAAGUGGGUGCUUAAACCCAUAUAGACGUGGUGUUUGAGAGGCAUGUGGAAAUGUAAGCAGAAAAAAGAAAGCAAAUAAGAUAGCAAAAAUAAGUUCUAAUAUAUUAGCAAUGUAUU
RNAcentral lists this long non-coding RNA (916 nucleotides) under Homo sapiens (human). RNAcentral's name for it is "HSALNT0297304". Lineage: Eukaryota; Metazoa; Chordata; Mammalia; Primates; Hominidae. The record is from RNAcentral.